AUGCUGAGGCAGGGCCACCACGGCGACGGCGGCGGUGGCGGGUGCGAGGGUGGCGCCUUCUACACCUACGACGCGUUCGUGGAGGCCGCGAGCACGUUCCGCGGCUUCGGCACCACCGGCGACCAGGCCACCCGCCGCCGGGAGCUCGCCGCCUUCUUCGCGCAGACCUCCCACGAGACAACCGGUUACUGCUGGGUGAAGCAGCGGAGUCCGGCCGGCGAUCGGUACUACGGGCGAGGCCCCAUGCAACUCACUCAUGAGCACAACUUCCGUCGAGCCGGGGACGCGCUGGGGCUGGACCUGCCUGCUGGGGAGGCCGGACCUGGUGUCGACCGACCCCGUGGUGGCCUUCAAGACGGCCAUCUGGUUCUGGAUGACGCCGCGACAUGGGGCGCAGAAGAUGCCGUCGUGCCACGCCGUGAUGACCGGCGGCUGGAGGCCGUCGCGCCGGGAGGCUCCCCGGGUACGGCAUGA
RNAcentral lists this ribosomal RNA (474 nucleotides) under Triticum aestivum (bread wheat). RNAcentral's name for it is "partial small subunit ribosomal RNA". The record is from RNAcentral. Lineage: Eukaryota; Viridiplantae; Streptophyta; Magnoliopsida; Poales; Poaceae.